UCCUUGACGACCCCACUACACAUCUCACUCGCUUUUUCAUUGGCUGCCCCACGUCAAACCACGCCUAGAGUAUUCUCUCUCCUCCUCUCUCUUCUCUUACAUUACGGAGUACUUCUCUCAAUCUCAAUUGUUCUUUCAAUUUCCCCAAUUUUUAGGUUUGGUGUACAGAGAAAGAUCUCUUUCUUUGGAGGAUUAGAUCAUGGCAGUUAACGAAGUUGAAGCUAAAGGCUUCAAUCCAGGCCUCAUAGUUCUGUUGGUUAUUGGAGGACUUCUACUAACCUUCCUAGUAGGGAACUACGUACUUUACACCUAUGCUCAGAAGAACUUGCCACCAAAGAAGAAGAAGCCUGUUUCAAAGAAGAAGAUGAAGAGGGAGAGGCUCAAGCAAGGUGUUGCACCUCCCGGAGAGUAAAUAUUUAGGGUUUGUGAGCAGAUCAAAUCUUCUGUUUCUGUCCGCAGUACUGAAUUGCUUCGGGACUUUAAUUUUAUAUUCGUGUAACUCUAAAUUGAGUUUUGAAUAUUUUGGUAGUUAGCCACAUCUUAAUAUAUCAUAUGGGUAAGUGAGUAGUAAGUAUUAGGAUCUUAUCGAAAUUCACAUUUCUUCAAUAUGCAGGGAAUUUAAAGCCUACUUGGUUUUCACCAAGAGCAGGUGUAGUUAACCUGCAGGCACAACGUUUACAGCGGUAGGCUGAUGGCUUUUGUUUGUUGGUGUAAAAAUGUGGGGAGUGUUUUAUGGGUUUGUUUUGUUAAUUUGUGUUUAGAAUUCAUAGUAGCUAGUGUCUACUGAAGCUAUGACAUUUCUGUUAAGAUCCAUUUAUCGAUUUAAACAAUUAUGUGCUGCUGUCAUACUAUUACUCUUAUGUACAUGCAGAAUUUGGGAUAA
Chenopodium quinoa (quinoa) is the source of this 883-nucleotide long non-coding RNA. RefSeq lists it as uncharacterized. NCBI's taxonomy places the organism in Eukaryota, Viridiplantae, Streptophyta, Magnoliopsida, Caryophyllales, Amaranthaceae. The record is from RefSeq and is a predicted model, not a curated record. The transcript has 3 exons.